AAGACUAUAGACCUGCGGAGUACCUGCGGAGGGAUCAUUAACGUAUCUAUGAUGGGGUGCGGAGCGCCCUGCUCCGGUCGAACGGCCGUGCAGCGGGUGCGCCGCCCCCGUCCCACCUCACAAACCCACUGUGAACAUCCACCGGUGGAGGGGGCUCGGUCUGCGCCGUGUCCCCGAUGCCGAAUACCCAAACUCCAGUUGCAAAGAACGUCGUGCGGACUCGGUGCCGCCUAAAACAUG
Molecule: unclassified non-coding RNA, 240 nt
Filed under: soil metagenome
Description: partial contains 5.8S ribosomal RNA, internal transcribed spacer 2, and large subunit ribosomal RNA
Source: RNAcentral